UCAAAGGCUCUUCUAAGAGCCACCACGUCCUCUCGGAAGCAGCUGU
Oryctolagus cuniculus (rabbit) is the source of this 46-nucleotide non-coding RNA. The record is from Rfam. Lineage: Eukaryota; Metazoa; Chordata; Mammalia; Lagomorpha; Leporidae.